This 486-nucleotide ribosomal RNA is filed under the name uncultured bacterium. RNAcentral describes it as "partial 16S ribosomal RNA". It matches the Rfam family "Bacterial small subunit ribosomal RNA", at positions 30 to 507 of the family's 1533-position model. The record is from RNAcentral.
AUUGAACGCUGGCGGCAUGCCUUACACAUGCAAGUCGAACGGCAGCACGGGUGCUCGCACCUGGUGGCGAGUGGCGAACGGGUGAGUAAUACAUCGGAACAUGUCCUGUAGUGGGGGAUAGCCCGGCGAAAGCCGGAUUAAUACCGCAUACGAUCUACGGAUGAAAGCGGGGGACCUUCGGGCCUCGCGCUAUAGGGUUGGCCGAUGGCUGAUUAGCUAGUUGGUGGGGUAAAGGCCUACCAAGGCGACGAUCAGUAGCUGGUCUGAGAGGACGACCAGCCACACUGGGACUGAGACACGGCCCAGACUCCUACGGGAGGCAGCAGUGGGGAAUUUUGGACAAUGGGCGAAAGCCUGAUCCAGCAAUGCCGCGUGUGUGAAGAAGGCCUUCGGGUUGUAAAGCACUUUUGUCCGGAAAGAAAUCCUUGGCCCUAAUACGGUCGGGGGAUGACGGUACCGGAAGAAUAAGCACCGGCUAACUACGUG